AAGCGAGGUGCUGUGCGUGUGUGGUUUGCAAGUUUUAUGAAAGGUUUUGGACAUUUAGAUGUUUAUAUAUCUGAGGUAUUUCAGUUAUGCCUUGCUUCCUCUUUCAGUUGGGCGGAGGUGCUCUUUAGCAGCGUAGCGUCAAGCUUACUUUCACUUUGUCCUCGUUUCAUCCUGCAUUUCUAUUCGAAACAUUUUGAUGUGACUGUCGGUGCUGUGUGGGGAAUAUACAUUCAUCCCACUUUAGACAUUAAACCAAAUGGAAGAAGAGAGCUGUUGUGCAGACGAUUUAUUGGAGUUCCUGCGCAUCGAUGUGGCGCUCGAGCCCUUGUGUGACAGACAGCAGACCACGUGCUCUAAGAAUGUCAUGCGCAAGCAGCGCAACUGGGAGAGGAGGCUGGAGGCGAAGAGAAG
Sinocyclocheilus grahami is the source of this 411-nucleotide long non-coding RNA. RefSeq lists it as uncharacterized. Lineage: Eukaryota; Metazoa; Chordata; Actinopteri; Cypriniformes; Cyprinidae. The transcript has 2 exons. The record is from RefSeq and is a predicted model, not a curated record.